CCCCUAGUAACUGCGAGUGAAGAGGGAAAAGCUCAAAUUUAGAAUCUGGCAGUUUCGGCUGUCCGAGUUGUAAAUUGGAGAAGUGCUGUCCGCGCUGGCCUGUGCACAAGUCCCUUGGAAAAGGGCAUCAUAGAGGGUGACAAUCCCGUCUCUGGCACAGACCACCAGUGCUUUUGUGAUGCGCUCUCAACGAGUCGAGUUGUUUGGGAAUGCAGCUCCAAAUGGGUGGUAAAUUCCAUCUAAAGCUAAAUAUUGGCGAGAGACCGAUAGCGAACAAGUACCGUGAGGGAAAGAUGAAAAGAACUUUGGAAAGAGAGUUAAACAGUACGUGAAAUUGUUGAAAGGGAAACGCUUGAAGUCAGUCGUGUCUCAUUGAAAUCAACCCGGCAAAUUUUGUCUGGUGUACUUUCUGUGGGACAGGUCAGCAUCAGUUUUGACUGCUGGAAAAAGGCCUUGGGAAUGUGGCAUCUUUUUAAGAUGUGUUAUAGCCCUUGGACCAAAUACAGUGGUUGGGACUGAGGAACUCUGUGUGACACAUCCAGUCACAUCUCAGGAUGCUGGCAUAAUGGCUUUAAUCGACCCGUCUUGAAACACGGACCAAGGAGUCUAACAUGCAUGCGAGUGUUUGGGUGGAAAACCCAAGCGCGCAAUGAAAGUGAAAGUUGAGAACUCUGUCAUGGAGUGCAUCGACGCCCGGUCUUGAUCUUUUAGUGACGGAUCUGCGGUAGAGCAUGUAUGUUGGGACCCGAAAGAUGGUGAACUAUGCCUGAAUAGGGUGAAGCCAGAGGAAACUCUGGUGGAAGCUCGUAGCGAUUCUGACGUGCAAAUCGAUCGUCGAAUUUGGGUAUA
This 849-nucleotide ribosomal RNA is filed under the name Clavaria aspersa. RNAcentral's name for it is "partial large subunit ribosomal RNA". It matches the Rfam family "Eukaryotic large subunit ribosomal RNA", at positions 77 to 919 of the family's 3401-position model. Lineage: Eukaryota; Fungi; Basidiomycota; Agaricomycetes; Agaricales; Clavariaceae. The record is from RNAcentral.